Ipomoea nil (Japanese morning glory) is the source of this 130-nucleotide long non-coding RNA. RefSeq lists it as uncharacterized. NCBI's taxonomy places the organism in Eukaryota, Viridiplantae, Streptophyta, Magnoliopsida, Solanales, Convolvulaceae. The transcript has 3 exons. The record is from RefSeq and is a predicted model, not a curated record.
UUCUUCCCAACUCCUUUGGAAAACAAAAUACCAAUGUUUAGGUAGGAUUUUCUUUUCCUUCACCUUUGGGAAGUCAAAUUCUCAUGGAAAAGAUUUUCCAUCCAACCAAACAAGAUAAUUUUUCAUUUUC